UUUUGCAUUCUGUAAUGUAAUAAAUAACUGUCUAUAUUUCAUUUAGCUUUUUCAUUUAAUCUUUGUGACACUUCUUCUGUGGGUAGGUAUUAUUAUCAUCAUUUUAAAAUUAAAGAAGCUGAUGCUCAGGUUAAGCAACUUGGCCUUUAUUGCAGAAAUAGCAGAGUUGGAAUUUGAAGCCCGGUCUCCCUAACCCUUAAGUCCUUUCUUUCCUUCACCCUUUCUCUUUACUAAUACUUAUCUAAUUACAAUGCCAUCUUUCCUCUCUCUGUACACUCACUCCCUUCAAUGAACAUUUUCUUCAUGUUUUCGGAGGCAUUGGGUGAAUUUUAAAAAAUCUGUGUAGCUCUGGGUUAGGAUAAUUCAUCUUCAUCUGUUCAGGUCAUGUAGCCCCUUGUUUCCUCCAUAACAACAGGAUAAAGAAAGAGACAGAGGUUCUGCUUUCCAGUGUCUUACAUCACCCAGAUAAUUGGCAGCCAGGAGAAGGGCAGCUGCCACACUCUUCAGAGAUCUAUUUAAAGUUCAAAAAGACGCAGGAUAACAAUAACAAGAAGGUAAGCGUGGCCCUGACCAACCCACCCAACAACAGGAAGAAUGGCUGAAAAAGAAUCUACAUUAUCACACCUUCUGGUCCCUAUUCUUCUCUUGAUUGGCUG
Phacochoerus africanus (Common warthog) is the source of this 656-nucleotide RNA transcript. It is a transcript of the gene named small transmembrane regulator of ion transport 1, with no coding region annotated. Lineage: Eukaryota; Metazoa; Chordata; Mammalia; Artiodactyla; Suidae. The record is from RefSeq and is a predicted model, not a curated record. The transcript has 2 exons.